AGUGGGAUAGCUGGGUCAAAAGGCAAUUUCAUUCCAAGUAUUCCAAGGAAUCUCCAUACUGCUUUCCAUAUUGGCUGCACCAUUUUGCAGUCCCACCAGCAAU
RNAcentral lists this microRNA precursor (103 nucleotides) under Marmota monax (woodchuck). The record is from RNAcentral. Lineage: Eukaryota; Metazoa; Chordata; Mammalia; Rodentia; Sciuridae.